Molecule: non-coding RNA, 106 nt
Organism: Papiliotrema laurentii
Lineage: Eukaryota; Fungi; Basidiomycota; Tremellomycetes; Tremellales; Rhynchogastremaceae
Source: the annotation of a GenBank genome assembly
GGGCUUGUGGUCUAGUGGUAGGAUGUUCGCUUUGGGUAUUACGUCACACGGAUGACGUAAUCAAAAAUAGUGCGAAAGGUCCCGCGUUCAAAUCGCGGCUGGCCCC